Onychostruthus taczanowskii (white-rumped snowfinch) is the source of this 357-nucleotide long non-coding RNA. RefSeq lists it as uncharacterized. The transcript is spliced from 3 exons. The record is from RefSeq and is a predicted model, not a curated record. NCBI's taxonomy places the organism in Eukaryota, Metazoa, Chordata, Aves, Passeriformes, Passeridae.
CUAACGCCGCCGCGGCGCGGCCCAGGCCACAGGCCCCGACAGCUGCGCAGAAUUAAGCGCAAAGAUAAACUGUGAAGGCACUUUCAAAGCUGCUGCGGAGGAAGGAAAUGCAUUUCUGCCUGCAGUUGUAAUGCAGGGCUUGUGCAGAGAGAGAUGAAGCAUGAAGCCAAGGUCAGCUGAUGCUUUUUGGAUCAGGGACUGAUGCAGCACUGAGACCUUAAUGUGAUCUGUGCUCUAGGUUUGGAGCUAUGUGAGGGCUGCAUUCCAGAGCUUUGCUGUACAGUGGAAACAUCAAACUCAUAGAUGCAAGAAAGAAUGUGAUGGUUCAUGGUCUUCCUGACAGUAAUAAAAUUAAAA